UAUGAAUCCAAUCACAGCAUAUGGUAGCUGACAGUGUUUUUUGAACUCCUCUACUAUAAGUACACACAUAUAUACUUUUUCAAAUUUUACAAAAUAAUAUCACGUUUUGACUUAUGUAGUAUGCUAAGCAUUUUACAUGGAUUCAUUCAUUUUCAUCUCAUAACCCCAUAAGGAAGGUACAUUAUUGUCCACAUUUUAUGUGUAAGGCAACUGAGACUUUGCUAGGUUACAUAUUUAAAAGUGGCAUUCAAACUCCAAUCUGGGCUAGGUGUGGUGGCUCACACCUGUAAUCCCAGCACUUUGGGAGGCUGAGGUGAGAAAUCACUGGUGCCUAGGAGUUCAAGACCAGCCCUGGCAAGACAGACCUCUUCUGUACAAAAAAGCAGCAGCAGCCAGGCGCAGUGGCUCACACCUGUAAUCCCAGCACGUUGGGAGGCUAAGAUGGGUGAAUCAUCUGAGGUCAGGCUGGUCUGGAACUCCUGACCUCAGGUGAUCCACCUGCCUCAGCUUCCCAAAGUGCUGGAAUUACGCGGUGAGCCACCGCGCCCAGCCGAGAUUUCCCUUUUUGUAGCAAUAUGUAAUAAGGACUUUGGAGCAUAAGAGCUAGAAGCUUUAAAAUAUCAAUUGUG
RNAcentral lists this long non-coding RNA (629 nucleotides) under Homo sapiens (human). Its description in RNAcentral is "PREDICTED lncRNA (TCONS_00078471)". Lineage: Eukaryota; Metazoa; Chordata; Mammalia; Primates; Hominidae. The record is from RNAcentral.